UGGGGAGAACGUACAAACUCCAUACAGACAGCACCCGUAAUUGAAUGAAUGAAUACGUUUAUUGGCCAAGUAUUCACAUACAAGGAAUUUGCCUUGGUGCUCCGCCCGCAUGUGACAACAUGACGUACAGUAACAGUUAGGCAUGACAUAUAAAACAUU
Long non-coding RNA from Amblyraja radiata (thorny skate), 159 nucleotides. RefSeq lists it as uncharacterized. Lineage: Eukaryota; Metazoa; Chordata; Chondrichthyes; Rajiformes; Rajidae. The transcript has 3 exons. The record is from RefSeq and is a predicted model, not a curated record.